CCUACGGGUGGCAGCAGUGAGGAAUAUUGGUCAAUGGGCGGGAGCCUGAACCAGCCAAGUCGCGUGAGGGAUGACGGUCCUACGGAUUGUAAACCUCAUUUGCCGGGGAGCAAGCGUGCGUUCGUGAACGCGCGUCGAGAGUACCCGUAGAAAAAGCCUCGGCAAACUCCGGGCCAGCAGCCGCGGUAAUACGGAGGAGGCGAGGGUUAUCCGGUUUUAUUGGGUUAAAGGGGUGCGUAGGCGGGUCGUUAAGUCAGUGGUCAAAUUGAGGGGCUCAACCCCUGCCCGCCAUUGAAACUGGCGCGCUUGAGUGGAAGAGAGGUAUGCGGAAUGCGUGGUGUAGCGGUGAAAUGCAUAGAUAUCACGCAGAACCCCGAUUGCGAAGGCAGCAUGCCGGCUUCCGACUGACGCUGAAGCACGAAAGCGUGGGGAUCGAACAGGAUUAGAUACCCCUGUAGUC
This 460-nucleotide ribosomal RNA is filed under the name uncultured bacterium. RNAcentral's name for it is "partial 16S ribosomal RNA". It matches the Rfam family "Bacterial small subunit ribosomal RNA", at positions 338 to 795 of the family's 1533-position model. The record is from RNAcentral.